This 405-nucleotide ribosomal RNA is filed under the name uncultured bacterium. Its description in RNAcentral is "partial 16S ribosomal RNA". It matches the Rfam family "Bacterial small subunit ribosomal RNA", at positions 28 to 526 of the family's 1533-position model. The record is from RNAcentral.
GAUGAACGCUGGCGGCGUGCCUAAUACAUGCAAGUCGAGCGAAGCGGGGACGGGUGAGUAACACGUGGAUAACCUCCUAUACGACUGGGUUAACUCCGGGAAACCGGAGCUAAACGCGCUACUUAUAUUUGGAUCCUCGCUGGAUUAGCUAGUUGGUAAGGUAACGGCUGACCAGGGCAACGAUGCAUAGCCGACCUGAGAGGGUGAUCGGCCACACUGGAACUGAGACACGGUCCAGACUCCUACGGGAGGCAGCAGUAGGGAAUCUUCCGCAAUGGGCGAAAGCCUGACGGAGCAACGCCGCGUGAGUGAUGAAGGUCUUCGGAUCGUAAAACUCUGUGAUUAGGGAAGCGUUACCGAAUCAGAAAGCCACGGCUAACUACGUGCCAGCAGCCGCGGUAAUUC